UACGGAGGGUGCAAGCGUUAUCCGGAUUCACUGGGCUUAAAGGGUGCGUAGGCGGGUAUUUAAGUCAGUGGUGAAAGCUCCGGGCUUAACUUGGAAACUGCCAUUGAUACUGUAUAUCUUGAAUGUCGUUGAGGUAAGCGGAAUGUUGCAUGUAGCGGUGAAAUGCUUAGAUAUGUUACAGAACACCAAUUGUGAAGACAGCUUACUAAGCGAUGAUUGACGCUGAGGCACGAAAGCGUGGGGAGCAAACAGG
Molecule: ribosomal RNA, 253 nt
Filed under: uncultured bacterium
Lineage: Bacteria
Description: partial 16S ribosomal RNA
Rfam family: Bacterial small subunit ribosomal RNA
Source: RNAcentral